UAUGGCCAUACCACCCUGAACACACCUGAUCUUAUCUGAUCUUAUCUGAAGCUAAGCAGGGUAGGGCCUGGUUAGUACUUGGAUGGGUAAAUGCUAGAAUAGAGAUUUAUGCUUUAA
RNAcentral lists this ribosomal RNA (117 nucleotides) under Prolemur simus (greater bamboo lemur). Lineage: Eukaryota; Metazoa; Chordata; Mammalia; Primates; Lemuridae. The record is from RNAcentral.